AGUGAACGUUGGCGGCGUGGAUUAGGCAUGCAAGUCGAGCGAGAACCGUAGCAAUACGGGGACAGCGGCGAAAGGGACAGUAAUGUGUAGGUACCUACCCCGAGGUCUGGGAUAGCUGCGGGAAACUGCAGGUAAUACCGGAUAAUGUCUUCGGACCAAAGGUGUGAUUCCACCUUGGGAGGGGCCUGCAUCCUAUUAGCUAGUUGGCGGGGUAAUGGCCCACCAAGGCGACGAUGGGUAGCGGGUGUGAGAGCACGACCCGCGUCAUUGGGACUGAGAUACUGCCCAGACACCUACGGGUGGCUGCAGUCGAGGAUCUUCGGCAAUGGGCGAAAGCCUGACCGAGCGACGCCGCGUGCGGGAUGAAGGCCCUCGGGUUGUAAACCGCUGUCGUAGAGGAGGAAAUGCAGGUGGGUUCUCCCAUCUGUUUGACCUAUUCUAGGAGGAAGUACGGGCUAAGUUCGUGCCAGCCGCCGCAGUAA
RNAcentral lists this ribosomal RNA (482 nucleotides) under uncultured bacterium. RNAcentral's name for it is "partial 16S ribosomal RNA". It matches the Rfam family "Bacterial small subunit ribosomal RNA", at positions 28 to 523 of the family's 1533-position model. The record is from RNAcentral.